UUAAGCGACUAAGCGUACACGGUGGAUGCCCUGGCAGUCAGAGGCGAUGAAGGACGUGCUAAUCUGCGAUAAGCGUCGGUAAGGUGAUAUGAACCGUUAUAACCGGCGAUUUCCGAAUGGGGAAACCCAGUGUGUUUCGACACACUAUCAUUAACUGAAUCCAUAGGUUAAUGAGGCGAACCGGGGGAACUGAAACAUCUAAGUACCCCGAGGAAAAGAAAUCAACCGAGAUUCCCCCAGUAGCGGCGAGCGAACGGGGAGGAGCCCAGAGCCUGAAUCAGUGUGUGUGUUAGUGGAAGCGUCUGGAAAGGCGCGCGAUACAGGGUGACAGCCCCGUACACAAAAAUGCACAUGCUGUGAGCUCGAUGAGUAGGGCGGGACACGUGGUAUCCUGUCUGAAUAUGGGGGGACCAUCCUCCAAGGCUAAAUACUCCUGACUGACCGAUAGUGAACCAGUACCGUGAGGGAAAGGCGAAAAGAACCCCGGCGAGGGGAGUGAAAAAGAACCUGAAACCGUGUACGUACAAGCAGUGGGAGCACGCUUAGGCGUGUGACUGCGUACCUUUUGUAUAAUGGGUCAGCGACUUAUAUUCUGUAGCAAGGUUAACCGAAUAGGGGAGCCGAAGGGAAACCGAGUCUUAACUGGGCGUUAAGUUGCAGGGUAUAGACCCGAAACCCGGUGAUCUAGCCAUGGGCAGGUUGAAGGUUGGGUAACACUAACUGGAGGACCGAACCGACUAAUGUUGAAAAAUUAGCGGAUGACUUGUGGCUGGGGGUGAAAGGCCAAUCAAACCGGGAGAUAGCUGGUUCUCCCCGAAAGCUAUUUAGGUAGCGCCUCGUGAAUUCAUCUCCGGGGGUAGAGCACUGUUUCGGCAAGGGGGUCAUCCCGACUUACCAACCCGAUGCAAACUGCGAAUACCGGAGAAUGUUAUCACGGGAGACACACGGCGGGUGCUAACGUCCGUCGUGAAGAGGGAAACAACCCAGACCGCCAGCUAAGGUCCCAAAGUCAUGGUUAAGUGGGAAACGAUGUGGGAAGGCCCAGACAGCCAGGAUGUUGGCUUAGAAGCAGCCAUCAUUUAAAGAAAGCGUAAUAGCUCACUGGUCGAGUCGGCCUGCGCGGAAGAUGUAACGGGGCUAAACCAUGCACCGAAGCUGCGGCAGCGACGCUUAUGCGUUGUUGGGUAGGGGAGCGUUCUGUAAGCCUGCGAAGGUGUGCUGUGAGGCAUGCUGGAGGUAUCAGAAGUGCGAAUGCUGACAUAAGUAACGAUAAAGCGGGUGAAAAGCCCGCUCGCCGGAAGACCAAGGGUUCCUGUCCAACGUUAAUCGGGGCAGGGUGAGUCGACCCCUAAGGCGAGGCCGAAAGGCGUAGUCGAUGGGAAACAGGUUAAUAUUCCUGUACUUGGUGUUACUGCGAAGGGGGGACGGAGAAGGCUAUGUUGGCCGGGCGACGGUUGUCCCGGUUUAAGCGUGUAGGCUGGUUUUCCAGGCAAAUCCGGAAAAUCAAGGCUGAGGCGUGAUGACGAGGCACUACGGUGCUGAAGCAACAAAUGCCCUGCUUCCAGGAAAAGCCUCUAAGCAUCAGGUAACAUCAAAUCGUACCCCAAACCGACACAGGUGGUCAGGUAGAGAAUACCAAGGCGCUUGAGAGAACUCGGGUGAAGGAACUAGGCAAAAUGGUGCCGUAACUUCGGGAGAAGGCACGCUGAUAUGUAGGUGAAGUCCCUUGCGGAUGGAGCUGAAAUCAGUCGAAGAUACCAGCUGGCUGCAACUGUUUAUUAAAAACACAGCACUGUGCAAACACGAAAGUGGACGUAUACGGUGUGACGCCUGCCCGGUGCCGGAAGGUUAAUUGAUGGGGUUAGCGGUAACGCGAAGCUCUUGAUCGAAGCCCCGGUAAACGGCGGCCGUAACUAUAACGGUCCUAAGGUAGCGAAAUUCCUUGUCGGGUAAGUUCCGACCUGCACGAAUGGCGUAAUGAUGGCCAGGCUGUCUCCACCCGAGACUCAGUGAAAUUGAACUCGCUGUGAAGAUGCAGUGUACCCGCGGCAAGACGGAAAGACCCCGUGAACCUUUACUAUAGCUUGACACUGAACAUUGAGCCUUGAUGUGUAGGAUAGGUGGGAGGCUUUGAAGUGUGGACGCCAGUCUGCAUGGAGCCGACCUUGAAAUACCACCCUUUAAUGUUUGAUGUUCUAACGUGGACCCGUAAUCCGGGUUGCGGACAGUGUCUGGUGGGUAGUUUGACUGGGGCGGUCUCCUCCUAAAGAGUAACGGAGGAGCACGAAGGUUGGCUAAUCCUGGUCGGACAUCAGGAGGUUAGUGCAAUGGCAUAAGCCAGCUUGACUGCGAGCGUGACGGCGCGAGCAGGUGCGAAAGCAGGUCAUAGUGAUCCGGUGGUUCUGAAUGGAAGGGCCAUCGCUCAACGGAUAAAAGGUACUCCGGGGAUAACAGGCUGAUACCGCCCAAGAGUUCAUAUCGACGGCGGUGUUUGGCACCUCGAUGUCGGCUCAUCACAUCCUGGGGCUGAAGUAGGUCCCAAGGGUAUGGCUGUUCGCCAUUUAAAGUGGUACGCGAGCUGGGUUUAGAACGUCGUGAGACAGUUCGGUCCCUAUCUGCCGUGGGCGCUGGAGAACUGAGGGGGGCUGCUCCUAGUACGAGAGGACCGGAGUGGACGCAUCACUGGUGUUCGGGUUGUCAUGCCAAUGGCACUGCCCGGUAGCUAAAUGCGGAAGAGAUAAGUGCUGAAAGCAUCUAAGCACGAAACUUGCCCCGAGAUGAGUUCUCCCUGACUCCUUGAGAGUCCUGAAGGAACGUUGAAGACGACGACGUUGAUAGGCCGGGUGUGUAAGCGCAGCGAUGCGUUGAGCUAACCGGUACUAAUGAACCGUGAGGCUUAACCUU
This 2904-nucleotide ribosomal RNA is filed under the name Escherichia coli. RNAcentral's name for it is "bacterial LSU rRNA". It matches the Rfam family "Bacterial large subunit ribosomal RNA". The record is from RNAcentral. Lineage: Bacteria; Pseudomonadati; Pseudomonadota; Gammaproteobacteria; Enterobacterales; Enterobacteriaceae.